CACCUAUGCACCUUUCUCUUUUUUUGACCCUAAUCUCUAUCAAGCAAAAUUGGUCUUUCCAACCCUGAUGUAUGACCAACUUUAUGAAAGAUCCACUCACACAAUCUAACUAAACCCUAAACCAUAUAUACUUUUUUUUAGAAUUACAUGGUACAAUGCAAACGUCCAAACAUGUCACACACUCACCUCUAUGAACACACGUACAACUAAUCCUGCCCCUAUGAGCACCUUCGAUACCACUAAAAACAUAUCAUCGAUAAAUCCUGAAAUAAAUCCAAAAAAUACAAAACACUUGUGUCAAGUCGAGGACUUAAAUCCGAGUGGGCAGGUUUCACCGCAAGGAACCGAACCAACUAAUCUAUGAUCACUUCACCAAUACUCCCUCCAUUUUAAAUUGUAAGUCAUUCCAAGAAUGUUGGAG
Molecule: long non-coding RNA, 421 nt
Filed under: Sorghum bicolor (sorghum)
Lineage: Eukaryota; Viridiplantae; Streptophyta; Magnoliopsida; Poales; Poaceae
Description: long non-coding RNA (SBIC_LNC017303)
Source: RNAcentral